Long non-coding RNA from Myotis davidii, 799 nucleotides. RefSeq lists it as uncharacterized. Lineage: Eukaryota; Metazoa; Chordata; Mammalia; Chiroptera; Vespertilionidae. The transcript is spliced from 2 exons. The record is from RefSeq and is a predicted model, not a curated record.
GCAUAGAGGCUCAUUCUGGCCCUGGGUGCAUCCUUCUGCCCACCUUCCAUCUCUGCCUGUGGUUGAUGUUCAUGUCCUAUUCCCAGAACCUGUUAGUAUCUUAGCUGAUAUGGCAAAAGGGACUUUGAAGGUAUGGUUAAAGAUCUUGAGGUGGGGAGAUGAUUCUGGAUUGUCUCAGUGGACCCAAUAUAAUUACAAAGACAUGUAAUCAGAAUGUGAUUCUCAUCAGAGGAAACAGGAGAAUUGGAGAAGGAUGGAAGCAGAGGUCCGAGGAGUGAAGAUGCUAUGCUGCUGGCUUAUGAUGGAGGAAGGGGCCAUGAACCAAGGAAUGCAAGCAGCCUCUAGAACCUGGAAAAGGCCAAGAAGCAGAUUCUCCCCUAGAGACUCCAGAAGGUAUGCAAGCUUGUCAACAUUUUGACUUUUAAUUUAGCCCAAUGAAAUGGAUUUCAGAGCUGUGGCCUCCAGAACUGUAAGCUAAUGCACUUGUGUUAUUUUAAGCAAUUAAGUUUAUGGUAAUUCAUUACAGCAGCAAUAGGAAACUAGUAUGCUGGCCCUGCCGCUGGGCAGCACUAAUCUGUUCUCCUAGGAAAGUAAGGUUUGUGAGAGUGGAAAGUGGAGAGGUAGAUUUCCUAGAAGCCCCUGCAAUCAAACUGAACUAGGUUCAUAUUACCAUUCAUUUAUUACUUAUAUUACUACCUGAGCAAAUGUCUAAGCAACAAUACAUUGAUAAUAAUGCAUUGCUUAUAGGAUUGCUAAGAAUUAAAUGUUUUAAAUUACCUAAUUACCCACUUAAAAAAAA